This 972-nucleotide long non-coding RNA is filed under the name Nicotiana tabacum (common tobacco). RNAcentral describes it as "long non-coding RNA (NTAB_LNC019305)". The record is from RNAcentral. Lineage: Eukaryota; Viridiplantae; Streptophyta; Magnoliopsida; Solanales; Solanaceae.
AAUUGCCCAGAAAGAAGAGAAGAUGAAGGUAUUUUCUGUAGCUGUUACAGAAAUUAAAAUAUUAUAGGAAGAAAAUAAUGAUUAGCAAGAUGAAUUAUUGAUUAAGAAUUGAGUGAAUAUGAUGGCUAAUGAUCAUCCUAUUUAUAGGCAAUUAGGGAGGUUACAUGUAAGACAAGUGUGGAGAGCCUUUUAAUACUUGUCCAAAUAUAUUAGUCCACUUGGCUUCAAUAUUAACAAGUGUACCUAGUCUUCCAUGCAUGAAGACACAUGAUAGAUUUGCAUAGCUAUUUGUCAAACCCAUUCAACACUUGGCUUUAAGGCUUCAUACAAGAAGCCACUUGAAAAUAGAUAGAACACUUGAAAACUAAAAAGACCCAUGGCUAUUGGUUGUAAAUGAAUUUUCAAAAAGAAAUUUUUGACUUUGCAUUAUAAAUAAUACCAACAUAAACAAAUACAGAGAAAAAUGGAUUCGAAUGGACCUUUAUAUUGAUGAAUAAAGCUGAAAAUUUGCAACUCAAUCGAAAUAAUAAGGCAACAAUCGUUGGACUGAAACGCCGAAAUUAUAAACUAGAACCUCAAAUCGGUACCGAAAAACUCGAAACCAAAACACGACCUCAAUGAAACUCCAUGAACCGAGAUCAAUAUGGUUAACGCCAGCGCUGGUAGUAACGAUAACGCGGAGCGAAGGGAGGAGGCAUAACAAAGAGGAAGAAAUCUUGCCAACGAAAACUUUAGGAGAAGAAAUCAUGGUUCAUACUUUAUACGGAUUGAGCAGGUGUGGAAUAAGAUUCCUAUGGUUUAAGGAAUCGGAAUUUAUGGGACAACUGUUCGCCGUAGAUAUUGAAAAGCAUUGGCUGACCUUGGAAAAUUUGUUUUGGUCGGUGCUCUCUUUCUCUUUGGACAUUGGGGUGUGGGCGGCUGGAAUUUUCAAGGAAGGUGGUGGGUGAGGCCUUAGCUUAAGAAUUAGGUUUU